UUUUAGCCAUAAGCAGAGAACCCAAUUAUUAGGGUCUCAACACAGCCGAUUUCGAUGCUUCCCUAACCCUCUGUUCGACCAUUUGACUACCACAUUCCACCAUUGAAACCGAUGGAAGAUAGCUCACCAUGAAGUCGUUUCAUUUUCCUACUUUAAACCCCGCCCCAAAAGGUAAGAUUUUUAGCCCGGAAACCUCUCUUAAGCUUCGAUCUCAACGAAGAAGAGAUGGUCUCCAAUGGCUCAUAUGCGCAGGUAGAUCCUUUCCUCUUUACUUUAUUUGCUUUCAAAGUAAAAUAAAAAAAAACAAGAGAAUAAUCACAAAGAAAGAAAGCCUGGAGAUUUAGAUCGAAAAAUCACCUUCCGAUAUUGGUUGCUUUUUUGUAUUGCUCGUAUAUCUUGCGUAAAAAUGUGUAGGCAUUCGUAACCCUUACAAGGAUCAAAAGCUUGGCUUUUUAUAGCCGAAGAAAAGAAAAAAAAGAAAAAAAAAUGAAAAACGCCCUUUUUCAAUUGCUGUUCUGCUAUUUUUGUUUGUGUUUGCUGCCGUGUGGUUUGUCCUUUUUGCAGGUAGAGUACGAAUGUGCGUUGGCCCUUGGCGUGAGGCGUACGGGGCUGUGUUAGCGUGGUUGCUGGAGACUGGGGCGUACGAAGGUGAUGUGGUUGCUGCUCGUGAAGGCUGCGGCGCGAGGACCCUUCUGCCUUAGGGUUUGCCGAAGUUUGGCUUGGUUUUUGGGCCGUUUGGGUCUUUUGUGUUUGUUUGGGCCGGGCAAAUUUGGCCUAGUACAGCUGCUCUUCUUUGCUCAUUAUCGUGGAAUGAGAAUAGUGCAAAGACUAUAAAUGGGCCAAUUUUGCCAGGGCCUGCUGAGCUUCGACUCCUUGGUGCUUCCUUUCUUCAGGUAGCUUCAAAAUGCUCCACUGCAACUUCAGGGAGAUAUGGUUCGUGUGUUUCUAUCUUGCUCUACUGCAACUUCAGAGAGAUAAGGAUUGUGACUUUGAUUUUGCUCCACUGCAACUUGAGGGAGACGAAAUCUUACAAUCUUCGGCCCGUUGCCCUACUAUUUAGGGGGUUAAGGCUCGUUUUCUCUGAUCUGCUCCAGUGGAGACGAGGUUUGCAAUCGUCAGCCUACUCCACUAUAACUUUAGGGAGCUAGAGUGAUGGCUUAAAUCUGCUUCACCGCAACUUUAGGAAGCCGAGAUUCGUCGUCUUCGAUUUGUUCUUUGUAAAUACAGAGACGCCAAAUCUGCUAUCUUCGAUCUGCUCUCCACCAAUACAGAGAUGCCAAAUCUGCUAUCUUCAAUCUGCUCUCUGCCAAUACAGAGAUGCCAAAUCUGCUAUCUUUGAUCUGCUCUCCACCAAUACAGAGAUGCCAAAUCUACGAUCUUCGAUCUGCUCUCCGCCAAUACAGAGAUGCCAAAUCUGCUAUUUUCGACCUGUUCACCGCUAAUACAGAGAUGCCAAAUCUGCAUUCUUCGAUCUGCUCUCCGCCAAUACAGAGAUGCCAAAUCUGUGACCUUCGAUCUGCUCUCCGCCAAUACAGAGAUGCCAAAUCUACUAUCUUCAAUCUGUUCUCCGCCAAUACAGAGAUGUCAAAUCUGCUAUCUUCGAUCUGCUCUCCGCCAAUACAGAGAUGCCAAAUCUACUAUCUUCGAUCUGCUCUCCGCCAAUACAGAGACGCCAAAUCUGCAGGAUUUACCAAUGUCGCCAUACUGUCUUCUAAAGACAUGACGUGUAAUAUGGGUUUCCUGUAUCUGUGUAUGUCAAAUAACUAGGAUGCUAUGAUCGAGAUGAAUCAAGUGUUCCUAACUAAAUGAAUGAUUAUGAAUGUAGAAACGUUAUGAGAGUGAUUUAUUUUUAAACGCUUAAGGCAUCAUUGCUCAUAACUCGUCCGGGUUCCAUCAUUGAUGUACUAUCGCGUCUUCUUACUUAGCCGUUAUCUCUAACAGAAAAUUUGUAGAAAUAGUCCUAAUUUGGAUUUCUCCUUUUCCAAUAUUUUCCAACUUUGAGCCUGGUUAGUCCUGACUAGUGGCCCUGUUUCAGGUCCUUGUACUAUUUAGAGACUUUUUUAGAGUAAUAUGCAUAACAUCCUUUGUGUGAAUAUUACAUGUUCAAAAAUUUCGAUUUCAAUAAAAAUGCUCGAAAAAGAUUAUCAUAAUGGACCAAUGGAAUUUUAUUAAGCAAAAUUUGAUGUGAAUAAAUAGGAUAACGAAUCUGGUGAGGUGUGAAAAAUGAGGAAAAGAUGCCCCAGAUAUCGCAGCACGAGUUUCACUAUUCUAGUUUCUUAGGGGUUCCUUCGAACCAAAUGUGUAUUCAAGAGAUCCUGCGCAUUUUGUUGAUGCUCCAAGGUGUAACGUUCUUCUGUCUUGUUGAUUUUGGAAGUACAAGACUACCAUAUGCCCCAUAUUCAAAAUUUGAGCUGCCCGUUUUCGGGUUUUCAACUCAAAAACCCCUUUGGUUCCAAAGUGCCCUUUGUGGAUUUUCACCUUGGCCUCUCCUUCUUCUUCUUCUUCUUCUUUUUUUUUCAGAGCGCCCUUUACGGGUUUUCACUCUGGCCUCUCUUUCUUCAGGUAAAAUACUUCUUGACCGAAUCCGAGUUUACAGGAUUGGGCAAGUUUCUACCGUCCAUCUCGGCUAGAAUCAAUGCUCCUCCAAAGAAAGCUUUCUUCACCACGUAAGGCCCUUUCCAAUUAGGCAUCCAUUUCCCUCGAAAGUCCUUCUGUAUGGGAAGGAUCUUUUUCAAAACCAAGUCUCCUUCGUGGAAUUCUCUAGGGUGAACCUUUUUGUCAUAAGCCCACAUCAUUCGCUUUUGGUACAUCUGACCAUGACGGAUAGCUCUUAACCUCUUUUCCUCAAUUAGGUUCAAUUGAUCAUAUCGAGACUGGAUCCACUCGGCUUCUUCUAACUUUAACUCUGACAACACUCGAAGAGACGGGAUCUCGACUUCGAUUGGCAACACUGCUUCCAUUCCGUAGACCAGGGAGAAAGGGGUUGCCCCGGUUGAAGUUCUGACUGACGUUCGAUAAGCAAAGAGGGCAAAUGGUAACUUCUCAUGCCAGUCUCUGUAGGUUUCGGUCAUCUUCCCCACAAUCUUCUUAAUGUUUUUAUUGGCCGCUUCCACUGCCCCAUUCAUCUUCGGGCGAUACGACAAAGAGUUGUGAUGUCUGAUCUUGAAUUGACUGCAGACUUCUGCUAUCGUACUAUUGUUCAAGUUUAAUGCAUUGUCAGAUAUAAUCCUCUCUGGCAUUCUAUAUCGACAUAUAAUCUCCUUUUUCAGAAACUUGCUCACUGUCGACUUGGUCACACUAGCAUACGAAGCGGCUUCUACCCACUUGGUGAAGUAGUCGAUUACCACAAAGAUGAACCGAUGCCUAUUGGAAGCUUUCAGCGAUAUCAGUCCAAUCACAUCCAUGCCCCACAUAGAGAAUGGCCAUGGAGAAACCAUGACAUGCAGCGGUGAAGGAGGCACAUGAAUUUUAUCCCCGUAGAUUUGGCAUUUAUGACAUCUCUUACCAUAAUUGAUACAGUCUCCUUCCAUGGUGGACCAAUAGUACCCGAAUCUCAUAAUUUGUCUGGCCAUUGUAAAGCCGUUAGCAUGUGUCCCACAGACGCCUUCAUGGACUUCUUCCAAGAUUUUCUUAGCCUCUACAGCAUCUACAUAUCUUAGUAACACUUGAUCAUUUCUUCUUUUGUAUAAUAUAUCCCCAUCUAAGACAUAGUCGAUGGCCAGUCUUCUUAGCGUUCUUUUGUCAUUCUCGCUCACCAGGUCCGGGUAUGCACGAUUCUUCACGUAUUGCAAUAUAUUGUGAUACCAAGGGCUAUCAUCUCUUUCUUCAACUUCUUCAAUAUUAUAACAGUGGGUCGAAAUUUCAUAAAUGCUCAUCCGGAUGGGUUUGACAUCUUCUUGUUUAUUUACCUUGAUCAUGGAGGCUAAAGUAGCCAAAGCAUCAGCCAUCUGAUUUUCGUCUCAUGGAAGGUAGUGGAAGGUGAUGUCAUCAAACUCUUUAACCAAUUCAAGGACUAAUUUUCGAUAGUCAAUCAACUUGGGGUCUCUGGUUUCCCAUUCUCCCUUGAGUUGAUAAAUCACUAGCGCGGAAUCCCCAUACACCUCUAGCACUCUAAUCUUACGUUCUAUGGCUGCGCGAAUACCCAUGAUGUACGCUUCAUAUUCCGCCAUAUUGUUUGUACAAUCAAAAUCCAAUUUACUAGUUAAUGGAUAAUGAUCUCCGUUUGGGGAUACCAAGACGGCCCCGAUUCCAUUGCCCACAGCAUUUGAUGCCCCAUCAAAGUUCAAUUUCCAAAGAAGUUUUUCCAGAGCACCUUCUUCAGCCGUAGCAAUACACACUAGGUCUUCAUUCGGAAAGUCAAAGUUCAAAGGCUCGUAGUCUGCUAUUGCACUUCCUUUUACUGCUUUCUGGUUCACAUAGACUAUGUCGAAUUCAGAAAGCAGAAUCUGCCAUCGGGCCAUCCUUCCAUUCAAGGCUGUUGACUCCAUCAUGUACUUUAAAGGGUCCAAUUUUGAUAUGAGCCAAGUGGUGUGAUACAACAUAUACUGCCUCAGCCUUCGGGUUGUCCAAAUUAGGGCACAACACAACUUCUCUAUCGGCGGGUACCUUGUCUCACAUUCUGUGAACUUUUUACUAAGAUAAUAAAUGGCUUUUUCUUUCCUUCCCGACUCGUCAUGCUGACCUAAUACGCAUCCCAUAGAAUUCUCAAAUACUGCCAAGUACAGUAUCAACGGCUUAUCGAAAUUAGUGGCAUCAGCACCGGGGCAUUGGAUAAGUACUGUUUGACCUUAUCAAAAGCCCUUUGGCAUUCUUCAUCCCAUUUACCUGGGUUACGUUUCUUGAGGAGGCGAAAGACAGGGUCACAUUUCUCGGUCAGUUGUGAAAUGAACCGAGCAAUGUAAUUUAAUCUUCCUAGAAAGCCUCGAACUUCUUUCUGAGUGCGCGGCGGGGAUAGCUCUUAUAUGGCUUUAACUUUGUCUGGAUCGAUCUCAAUCCCUUUCUUACUAACCACGAAUCUGAGCAACUUUCCAGACUUAGCUCCGAAGGUACAUUUGGCUGGGUUGAGUUUUAGCUGGAACUUCCUCAACCUCAAGAAUAGUUUUCUCAAGACUUGUAUGUGCUCCUUCUCUGUUCGGGACUUAGCUAUCAUGUCAUCAACAUAGACCUCGAUUUCUUUAUGCAUCAUGUCGUGAAAAAGGGUUACCAUGACUCUUUGAUAAGUUGCCCCCGUAUUCUUUAGUCCAAACGGCAUCACCUUGUAACAGAAUGUGCCCCACAUGGUUACAAACGUGGUUUUCUCCAUAUCUUCAGGGUGCAUCUUGAUCUGGUUGUAUAUCGAGAAACCAUCCAUGAACGAAAACAGUGAAUGUCCCGCUGUAUUGUCCACUAGGGUGUCGAUAUGAGGUAAUGGGAAAUUGUCUUUUGGGCUGGCUUUAUUCAACUCUCUGUAGUCCACACACAUUCGUACUUUUCCAUCUUUCUUAGGGACAUAGACGAUGUUGGCUACCCAAUCUGAGUAUUUUACCACCUUCAGAAAUCCAUCGUCAAACUGCUUUCGGACCUCUUCCUUUAUUUUUAGCAAGACAUCGGGCCUCAUUCUUCGGAGUUUUUGCUGAACUGGCUUACACUCUUCUUUUAUGGGGAGUUGAUGCACCACGAUGUCAGUGUCCAACCCGGGCAUAUCUUGGUAUGACCAUGCGAAGACAUCUUUGAAUUCUUGAAGUAAUCCAAUGAGGUCUCGUUUCAUCUCCGUAGUGAUACAUGUUCCGAUCUUCACCUCCUGUCCUUCUCCUAAACUCACAAUUUCAACUAAUUCUUUGUGAGGUAGGAUUUGUUUCUCGUCUUGUUCUACCAUCUUCAGCAAAUCAGGAGAUAAGUUACAGCCUUGGUCAUCUUCAAAAUCUUGAGAAUUAUCCAUACACACAUCUUGCUCGAAAGGAAAUUCUGAGUCACUAGCAGUGUCACUCGUAUCAUUAAUAUCUGAGGACCUGUUAUGAGGACGAAGGCAGAUACAAAGAAUCAAAAGAAUUAGAAACGUUUAUUUGCAUGAUAUGAUUAUGGAUGACAAAUGAAAGAGUAUGUAAAAGAAUGUUUCAAGAAUAAAAGAAUUUGAAAGUAAUCAUUAGUAUGGUUAUAAAUGAAAUUGAAAGGACGAGAUGACAUCUGCUCAAAAAUGAUAAUAACCGUGCAUUUUAUUGAAAUAUCGUUUUUAAACAUUAGCCUAUUUCACAAAAGAUUCUUAUCACUCCUAGGCCUAGAGCAAUAAGUGUGUUUUGGACAUUACUCUAUAUUCGUUCUAAAAACUACAGGGAUCUCUUCCGCAGUCCAGUUGUCCAGAACACUUCCAGGUGUGUAAGGGCCAAUGUCCGAUAAACUUUCUCUUCUGGUCUCUUCUUCGUACAUGACGUUGAUGUCCAAACUUUCCAGGCUUUUUUCUAUAGCUCCCAUCAUUGAUGUGUCUCUUUCGGGAUGGAUGAUUCCCCCGGACACAAAUGUUUUCGAUAUAUAGGGAAUAUCAUUGGUUCCCACUUGAUUUCUUUCCCCGUUAAUCUAGCUCUCAUUCUUUCCUGCUUCUUUUCCAGCUCCCUUCUCCUUUGUUUCGCGUCUGGCUUAAAUCCUAAGCCGAAGCGGUCUCUCUUGUCUUUCAGCAUUGGCGUUUCAGUUCUUCCUUGUAGAUGUCUCCCAAGUCUUUUUUCGGGUAGGGCCCCUUUUCCAAAUGUCAGUUGGAGGCUCAUCCUCGUGGUUUUAGACAAUUUCGACACCGAAAUUUUGCUUCCCUCGGCGAUGAACGUCGCGUUAACAAAUUUUAAAGAUUGAAAUGAGCAUUCGAUUGCUUCAUCAUCUGUCUCCAAAUAGGGUGCAUUAUUGCUCACAGUUGCAAUAAUAUCUUCUUCAACCUUAAUCGUUAUCAACCUUCUCUCCGACACCAGCUUCAAUUUUUGAUGCAACGAGGAAGGCACCGCCCCAGCUGAAUGUAUCCAGGGCCUCCCCAAUAAGCAAUUAUAUGAGGGUUUGAUGUCCAUUACAAGGAAAUCCACCUCAUAUGUGUUUGGCCUAAUCUGAAGGGGUACCUCGAUUCUGCCCAUCACCUUUCUCUCCGUACCAUUGAAUGCCUUCACGAUGUUCUGGCACUCCUUCAUGUGAGAGCUGUCUAUAGGUAAUCUGUUCAGCGUGGUCAAUGGCAGGACGUUCAGGGCGGAUCCAUUGUCAAUUAGUACGCCUGGCAGCGUAUACCCUUUACAGCGUGUGGUGAUAUGCAGAGCUUUAGUCGACCCCAUGCCCCUGGGUGGUAUCUAAUCGUCAUUAAAGAAGAUAUAGUUAUCGACACUGAUCUUGUUAACCAAGCGGUCCAACUUGUUAACGGAGAUAUCAUUGGGAACAUACGUUUCAUUCAAGACCUUCAUUAGCGUGCUGCGAUGGACUUCCGAGCUCAGAAGCAAAGCCAGCACUGAAAUGCGGGCUGGUUGUUUGCGUAGCUGUUCCACCACACUGUAUUCGCUAUGCUUUAGGAAUUUUAAAAACUCCUUGGCCUCUUCUUCGUUAACUGGCUCGUUAACAAGUUUGGUUGCUUUUCCUUUCAUUUUCUCGACCAUCUGGGGUUUUCCUUUUGUGGGUUGUGCCUCCUCAUUCGUCGUAUCGUAACGUCUCCCACUACGUGUAUAGGAUCCCUUGUCCUGAUCCCCUCUUGAAGCGUCAAUUGGGCUCUCCUUUCCCGGCAUCAUCACACUGCAAUCAUAAUUCCAUGGGACAUUUUUGCUAUCUUUGUAAGAGAAGACUGCAGGUCUUUAGAUUAUGACUCUCGGUGGCAUUUGUACUCCAACUUUAUUAUUUUUGGGUCUCGAAAUGAUCACCACAAGAUAGUUAGGUGUUCGAUUUUGUGCCAUCGAUUCUCCCUCUGAUGCGCAUAUAUCUCCCACUACGGGGUUUUUGGCUUUUUCAUAAAAUUCUAUUUCUUUAUUGUUCAUCAUGUUUUGUAUUAGGACCUUGAACUCCACGCAAUCUUGGAUUUCAUGCCCCACUUCGUCGUGAAACUCACAGUAGUUUCUGUCUUCUUCAGGUUCUUCCCUCGAAUCCAACGCGAUCAAUCCUUUCUUGACCAUCUCCAUCCAUACUCGCCUCAACGGAGUCCUGACUUCAGCAACCUCAUACUUGGUCUUCUUGUUCAAGCCUUCACAUAUCACAUUCACUCCUUGGUCGGUAUGAUUGGUGAGCGGGUUUCCUACUAUAUUGGAUGUGGCUGGGUCAUCAAAUCUCACGAUCCCCAUCUUAAUGAGUCUUUUAACUAAUUUUUUAAAUGCUGCGUAGUUUUUGAUAGAGUGCCCAAUAAUUCCCGCGUGGUACUCACAUCGGGCGUUCGUGUCAUACCAUUUGGGAUACGGGAGCUGCAGUGGCUUCAGGUAGAAAGGGGAGACCACAUGAGCGUUGAACAGGUUCUGGUACAACUCCCUAUACGUCAUGGGUAUAGGGGUGAAUUGUGGUCUUUCUAUAUUCUCCCUUGCGUUGGAUUCUUGUCUUACAGAGCUUUGCUGAUUAGUGGUCACCGCCUUGGGUUGAUUUACGGUGAAUGACUUAGGCUGACCUUUGCUAGAUGUGCUCGUGUUGUUCACUUCAUUGUCUUUUUUCCUCGGGACUAACUUUCUGGUACUUUCUCUGGCUUCUAUCUUGCUGCUCCUUAUAGCAUUUUCGAUCAUUUCUCCCGUCAUUACUAUAUCAGAGAAGCUCUUGGUGGCGCUUCCCAACAUAUGAGUGAUAAAAUGAGCCUUCAAGGUAUUAAUAAAGAGCAUCGUUGUCUCCUUUUCUAGAAGUGAUGGUUGAACUUGUAUGGCCACCUCCCUCCAUCUUUGCGCGUACUGCCUGAAGCUUUUAUUCGAUUUCUUCUCCAUAUUCUGAAGAGUGAUUCUGUCAGGGGUCAUGUCUGUCACAUGAUUGUAUUGCUUCAUAAAGGCCUGGGACAGGUCCUUCCACGAGUUAAUCUUAGAGCGACUCAAUUGGUUGUACCACUUAGACGCCGCCUCGACCAGACUAUCUUGAGAGCAAUGGAUUAAUAACUGAUCGUUGUUAACAUAUCCCAUCAUUCGCCUGCAGAACAUAGUGAUGUGGGCUUCAGGGCAGCUCAUUCCAUUGUAUUUCUCAAAUUCGGGCAUUUUGAAUUUGGGGGGAAGGACUAAAUCUGGGACCAAACUCAGGUCCUUGGCAUCAAUCCCUUGAUGAUGAUCCACGCUUUCCAUGGCUUUGAAUUUUUCCUCGAGCCAUCUGUAUCAUUCUUCCAAUUGUUUUUACGAAUCCAUCCUCGCCUUUUCCUCUUCGGCAAUUUCAUCCAAGUCGGGAACGGGCGGAUAGUUCGGGUUGUUGACAAAGUUAGAGCUUGAGCCGGUUUGGAAAUUUAUCGGUACCGAAGCUCCGGCCUGAACCUGCUGGGGCAUGAUCGUGACAGAUGGUUUCGGUAAAUUAAUCUCGGGCUUUAUCGGUACAUGCGUCGGAGUGAAGCCAGGGGGUAUUGAGGAUCCUCGUUAGUUUUUUCAACUUUGUCCAUAGGACCCUUUCCCUUAUCCGUUCCUCCCAACAGUAGCUGGGAUAACUGACUCAUCAUUUCCCUCUGGGACUCCAUCAUUUGCUCUUUCAUCUCUCGCUGAAUCUUGGCUAGUUGCUCUUGCAUCUGAGACUGCAUUUGUUCUUGUAUUUCUUUUUGCAUCUGCUCUAAUUUCUCGAGUCUCUUAUCCAUUGAUUUUUUUCUUGUACCGUAGGGGUGUGUGGUUGGUUGGUUUUCGUUGGUUUCCAGGUUACUGAAAUAAUUUUUAAUUAAUUAAUUAGAAAACUCUUAUGGCCUUUAAUGCAUAAUGAUAUGAUGCAAAUGCAAAUGCAUGAAUGCAAAGGAGGCAUCAAUUUUUUGAUUCAAUUGCCCUUAGAAAGUUUUACUUGAAAAUAAAAUCUUUUACAUAAAGUCGAGUUACAAAUAAAAUUUCACUCUAACACUUAAAGUCUUAAUUUUUUUAAGCAACGAGGCCAUCUUUUGUCCGCGAUCUGAUUCCAACUCAUAUUUCACGCUCAGUGUGUCCGCCUGAACCGCUAAAGUCUGCAAGUAGUCGGCUACCUCCCGAAUCUGGGUUAUGGCUUCCCCCAUAAGAUAAUCUCUGUUUCUGACUUGGUCUUGCACAUGGUGAAGCUGCUCUUUCCAACGAUCCUCGUUUGCCUCGAAAAACUAGAUCUGCAUCUCACAGUUCUGUAGUGAUGCCUCUAACUCUCCUAUUCUUCGUUUCAUUUCUUCUAUCUUGCUCAAACUUGCCCUUAGCUCUAUUGCGGUGUUACGAUUUCGGUACUGAUGUAGAGAUUUCUCGAGUUCUGUUACUCUAGCCCUUAAUUCACCUCGCUCUUUUCUACUUUCCGACAGACUCUUCUCCAAAUCUUCGUUUCAUGCUUGAACUUCUCGGAAUUUCCUUUCCCACCGGUCGGUAUUGGCCUUUUCUUCCCGAAUUUCAUGGCGCCAUUAUUCGAAAGUCUUACCUAAGCCCGCAGUCCUCAUAGAUAGGCGUAGCUUCUUGUAGUCCGUCUUCAGGCUGUCUAGGUCUUCUUCGGCCUUGGUUUUUUCUUUUCUCCACUUCUCAGCCUUUGACCUCUGAACAUCAGCGUCUAACCUUAAGUGCAUCUUUUCUUCUUCCAAUUGCUCGAUCUUCUUCCCAAGCUCCAAACUCUUUUUCUCGAAAUCUUACUUUAUAAUUUCCAAUUCUGAUGGGGCGACUUGUAAUUGUUCCCCGAUAGGUCGAGCACUCUCUAAGUUUGGCCUAGGAAUAUUGUCAUUAAUCCUCUUCUUAAACCACUCGCUGUACUCGGGCGUUACCAUGGAACCAACGGCUAACCUUUUCAUCCAACAAGUUUGCUUUCAAGCAUCCGAUAACUCCCGAACUCUCUUUUUAUAAUGAGCACCCUUAAAAGAGAAUUCACUCUGAGCAAGUCCGUAGGUCAUGGGUACAAACUGCCUCGACUUAUAUUGCCUCAAGGUUAUCAACGGAGUAUACCCGGUAGCUCCCCAGAUUCCUAACAGUGGCACCCAAUCGAAGUUACCACAUCGGUACAAGAUCUUGUCAGGGACCAUCCAAUAAGCUCUCCAUUCAAUAUCCCCCUCCUUGAAGUUUUGAAAAAUAUCUAUCCAUUUCCCCUCUGAGAUAUCCUCUCUCCUCUGUAUAGCUGCUUCUUCCUUCAAAGGGGAAUAACCUUCGGAAAAGACUCGGUAGGAAUCCUUGUCUACCUUCCAAAAGUGCCCAUGAAACCAUACCAUCAAUAGUUGAGCACAUCUAAUAAAUCGCCCCUCGCCCGUCUUCCGAUAUGAGCUCAAAGAUCUGAAAGUUUCUGCCAAUAUCGCUGGUACUGGAGUGAUUCCUUUCUCAAGGCGAUCGAACAAGUCGAUGAUCGCCUCGUCCACGUGCCUCAAAGCCUUAGGAAAGAUCACUAAUCCGUAGAUGCUUAAGGCAAAUAUAUCGACCCUCUUUCUUUCGUCUGGAUGAGUCAAGAUCAAAUCUCGCAAAUUAUCUCAAGAGACAUAUUUGCUAUCUCCUUUUUUGCUGAAUCCGAGCGAUGACCCAAGGCUCGCUCAUCCCAGAAAUGCUCACCAGUUUCUUCACGAAAGCUUGACUACUAAAAACCCGGGCAUAAGUCUUCCGGACCUGAAUCUUUGGACACCUAAGCAGCGUAGUGUAUUCUUCUAUAGUAGGUACCAAAUCCACUUCUCCAAAGGUGAAACACUUAUAUGCGGAAUUCCAAAACUGCACCAAGGCUCGGAACAAAUGCUUAUCCACUCUAAUGUCUAACAGGUAGGAUAUAUCACCAUAACUUUGGUAAAACAACUGCUUGAUCCUUUCAUCCCAACUAGCCCAAAUGUCUCUCAACUCUUGCAGCUCAUUCUAUAUUACAUUGACGCGAGUGAAAUCCCGUAGCUCCGAUACAUGCCCUUCUGCUAAGCUAUCCCCUCUCUCAGAUUGUAGCAUUUCCGACCAAGCACGAACGGCCGCAUUAUCCUCGACUUUACUAAGAAAUUCAUUCUCCAUGUCAAAUUUUCUAACUUAGUAAUUGAAUGUAGAUUAACGCCUCCUUUAGUAUGCAAUGUCAUGCAAAAAAGACAAUCAAAACAAAACAUCAGUUAGUAUCAAAUAAUAGCGAUAGAAUGCAAGCACAUAAACGGUGAUUAUAACGCAUAUACAGGUAAGUACUAAGGCUCGACGCGGCUCCACCCAAGGAUAGCUCCUAAGGUUCACUAUAUGUGGUUUAGUUCUAGGAAAAGAGGUACCCGAACCAGCAGAUUCCUCAAUCCUCACCCAUUAUAGGCUCAUAUAGAUCGAGUUCGGUUCGGGGGGAUACAUUUCCCUAUGACCAUGCGGAGAUGAAAAUCUCACGAAAUCAUAGGUACGGAUGUACCCCGGAAGCAAUCCACUAGCCAAUGCGGAGGUGAAAACCUCACGAAAGCGUAGUUUCUUACUCCCACUUAGAAGGUGUGACCACGGUGGUCAUGCAAUAAAAUGUAAUACUAUUAUACAAGACCCGCACCAAAACAAUCAUGCAAUCGAAAGAUACAUGAUUUUUAAAAUACAUUUUUGGUUUUUGACAAAAUGACAGUAAAUAAUCGAUUUUCAUGGCUCGACUCUCAAGUUCAAUCCCCAGUGGAGUCGCCAAGCUGUCAAAACCAUCCCUCGAUUUAAAAAAUUUUUAUUUUAAUGAGAAAUGGUGAAGUCGAGUUUUUGGGAAAUAGAAAUAUGGAGUCGCCAUCGAUCUUUUGUUUUGGUGUGAUCGGGUCACCUAAGGAUUUGGUUAUUUUAAUAAAAUGUUUUGGUUUACUAGAAUAACGAUUUUGGUCUACGAAAAUAUGAGAAAAUGGGCUCGGGAGUCGGUUACGUAUGAGGAAGGAUUAGCACCCUCACUACGCUCAAAAUUGGUACCAAAUCGAUUAAAUACUGUCCUUAGGUCUAAGAUAAAAAUGUUUUGGAAAUGUGGUUCUUUUCUAAUAACGUUCGAGUGAUCCGAGUUGAUUGUCAAAAAUCUUCUUGUUUCGAUGACCGAAAAUUUAUAAUUUGAAAAUCACAAAAGGAUGCUCAACUAUUUAGUCCAACAAAAAAUCGAAACUCAGCACAGUAGGGUACGAUUCCUCGAAUUUCAAACAUUGACCAUUGCCUCCCCUUAUAAAAUACGUGUAAAAUUCCGAGGAGAUAUUCGAUUAUUUUAGACAAAUGAAAAAGCGCAACCCAGCACGAUAGGGCACGAUUCUCAAAUCGCCAAACGUUGAACAUCGUCUUCGUUUUUAAGAAUGUUUUCUAAAAGCGAGUGAAAACCUAAAGGAAUAUUCGAUUGUUUUGACUAAACGAGAAAUCACAACCCAGCACGAUAGGGCAUGAUUCCCGAAUCGUCAAACACCGAGUAUUGCCUCCGUUUUAAAGGAUUUUUAGAAGAGCCGAGUGAAAUUUUGAAGGGAUAUUUGAUUAUUUUAAACAAUCGGGAAAUUGCUACCCAACACGUUAAGGCACGAUCCCGCGAAUUGCCAAAUAUCACAUAUCGCCUUCGUUUUAGAGAUUUUAAAAGACAUGAGCAAAAUUUUAAAGUGAUAUUCGAUUAUUUUGAACAAAUGCGAAAUUGCAACCCAACACGUUAGGGCACGAUUCCGCGAAUGGCCAAACAUCAAAUCUCAUCUUUAUUUAAGGGAUUUUAAAAGAUAUGAAUGAAAUUUCGAAGGGAAAUUCGAUUAUUUUGAGCAAAUACGAAAUUGCAACCCAACACGUUAGGGCACGACUCCGUGAAUCGCCGAACAUCAAAUUUCGUCUUCAUUUUGAAGAAUUUUUGGAUGAAUAUUUAAAAAUAUAUUAAUUCGAUUUGAAAUAAGAUGACAUUAAUCGUAGAAAUUGGAUUUUAUAAAACCACAUUUCGAAAAACCAAAUGAAAACGAUGAGAUAGGAUAAUAGGCGCAUAUGAGAUACCAUACUUGAUGAAUGAGAAUAUCGAUCAACCAAGAAAAUGAGCAAUUAAGUAUAAUUAGCUUGAAAAUAUGACUCAACCUCAAUUAUGCAUGGAGAACAAUUAAUCAUGGCAAUAAUGAAUAAAAUGCAACGACGGCAUACAUGACAUAAUAAAAUUAUUAGAGGCAUAAAAUAGAAUGCAAUUCAAAGAAGCAACAUGGUAUAAGAUUAUUGUAAAAUAAUGUCAAGCUUAAUAGACACAUGCAAUCAUUAAAAUAUAUAUAUCGUAGAAUGAAUAUUUUAAAACACAUAAUGUAUGAAUUGACAGAUUUACAUAAAAAUAAGAAUAUAUAUAAUUAUUGAAAUAGAUAUUAGAAAAUGAAAAUUUGAAUUAAAUUGAAUGUAAAAUGAUUUCAGCACAAAUUUAUUUAAAGAGUUGACAAAAGUAUGCGAUAAUUUAAAAUAUAUACAAUACAAAAGAAUAGUGGAGAUAUAUGACAAGACAUAAUGCACAAAAUAAAUUUAUAAAACAUGUGUAUACGCAAGUUUAUUGUAAAAAAAACAUGAGAUUAAUAAUAAGAUAUAUACAUAUACAUGCAUAUAAAUCUAAAGGCAAAUACAUGCAAAAACAUUUAUAUAUUAUGUAUAGGGCUAAAUUAAUUUUAUUAUAAACUACAUAAUAGUUUUACGAACGUGCUCAUAUAUAUAUAUAUAAAGAAAACUACGGGUAUAAAUACAUAGAUUUAGUAACAUAUAUAUAUAAAUAGAUUAAGCAUAGGUGUUAAUAAAAAAACAUAUAUAUACACCAUAAUAAUUUAAAAACCAUGUUAUAAGAGAUUAUAUAAUAAAAGACGAGAAUAUAUUUAAAAGAAACUAUAUGUAUAGAAUAAUGUAAGAUUAAUAGCAUGCGAAAAAUAAAAGUAACCUUAUUAUAAAGUGUAUAUAUAUAGGAGUUUAAACAAACAAAUUUAAAAGAAAAUAGAUAGAUGUAUAUAUGUAUAUAUACAUAUAUAUAGUUAUAUGUAUAGAUGUAUUUACAUAUAAAUAAAAGUACGAAUAACAAACCAUGCAAAACUUGAUAAAAUAUUCCAAAAUAAUAUAUUAAAUGGUGAAUAAUAAGUAAGUCUCAAAAAUAGAAGGGUUUCAAAGAAUAAAAAUGCUGAAAAUAACAAAAAAAACUCAAUUGAAACAAAAAUGAGACUAAAAGGAUCAUUAAUAAAUAAAAUCAGUUGCUGAAAUUAGGAAAAGGACUAAGUUUUGACACGCGCGCGAAUGCAAUGGACUAAAACUGGCAAUAUACCAGAACCCAAAAUGAUGCGUUUAGGCGCGGAUCAGAUUGCAACAAAGCACAAAUUAUAAGCCUAAAUAAUAAUAAAAAAAGCAAGGCGCAUAAGGCGCAAUCGAAGGCUCGCGCGAAUACAGAGGACCCAUCGCGCAAAUUUCCCAUUCCGAAUGAAAAGGUGCGGAUCCGGGUUGCUAUCCGGGUUGACGUGCGGACCUUCAAUAUCCCAAACGGCGCCGUUUCGUCUAAUUCCUAAAAUUAAAGGCCAUUGAAUGGCAGCUUACUGUCCCUUUUAGCCAUAAGCAGAGAACCCAAUUAUUAGGGUCUCAACACAGCUGAUUUCGAUGCUUCCCUAACCCUCUGUUCGACCAUUUGACUACCACAUUCCACCAUUGAAACCGAUGGAAGAUAGCUCGCCAUGAAGUCGUUUCAUUUUCCUACUUUAAACCCCGCCCCAAAAGGUAAGAUUUUUAGCCCGAAAACCUCUCUUAAGCUUCGAUCUCAACGAAGAAGAGAUGGUCUCCAAUGGCUCAUAUGCGCAGGUAGAUCCUUUCCUCUUUACUUUAUUUGCUUUCAAAGUAAAAAAAAAACAAGAGAAUAAUCACAAAGAAAGAAAGCCCAGAGAUUUAGAUCAGAAAAUCACCUUCCGAUAUUGGUUGCUUUUUUGUAUUGCUCGUAUAUCUUGCGUAAAAAUGUGUAGGAGUUCGUAACCCUUACAAGGAUCAAAAGCUUGGCUUUUUAUAGCCAAAGAAAAGAAAAAUAAGAAAAAUAAAUGAAAAACUCCCUUUUUCAAUUGCUUUUCUGCUAUUUUUGUUUGUGUUUGCUGCCGUGUGGUUUGUCCUUUUUGCAGGUAGAGUACGGACGUGCGUUGGCCCUUGGCGUGAGGCGCACGGGGCUGUGUUGGCGUGGUUGCUGGAGACUAGGGCGUACGAAGGUGAUGUGGUUGCUGCUCGUGAAGGUUGCGGCGCGAGGACCCUUCUGCCCUAGGGUUUGCCGAAGUUUGGCUUGGCUUUCGGGCCGUUUGGGUCUUUUGUGUUUGUUUGGGCCGGGCAAAUUUGGCCCACUACAUAUAUGUUUUAUUAUCAUUGAAAUGCUCUGAAUUUUGAACGAUAAAAUACGAGCACGGAUCGAAAAAGUUACAAAUGUCAUGACAUUAGGUUGUCGAGAUGUGAUUACAUGUAAGACCAUGUAUUGGACAUUGGCAUCGUUAAUCGAUUUCGUGUAAGACCCUAUCUGGGAUAGUGGCAUCGAUAUGUGAUAACAUGUAAGACCAUAUCUGGGAUAUGGCAUUGUACGAGCUCAUGUGAUUUCCGAGUAUCCUUAAUGAUUCCGAACGGUUCAAUGGGCAAAGGCAAGUUGAGAAAGAAAUGUGUUAAUGAGAUUAAACAACUCAGGUACGAACGAGAUUUACAUAAGUAUUGAAAGGGAAAGUAUUUGAUGAAUCCAAUCAAGAUAUUGAAUAUAUGUUCAAUGAGAAAGAUUUGUGAAAUUGAAUGUGAACAGCUAUGUUUAGCAUAUUUGAUUUGUUAUGCAAAUAUUUAUGUGAUGAAUUUAUUUCUAUAUAGCUUACUAAGCUUUUAAAGCUUACUUUGUGUGUUCAUUCCAUGUUUUAUAGAUCGUCGAAGCUAGCUCGGACUUGGGGAUCGUCAGGAAACGUCAUCACACUAUCGAUCAUCUCGUUGGUACUUUUGAAGUUUUGUAUAUAUGGUAUAUGACAUGUAUAGGCUAGUGUCAUUUUGAUAUGUUUUAAUCUAUGAUAUUAGUCAUGUGUUUUAGCUUGUUAAUGAUGUAAAUAUUGAUAUGUUUUUAGCCAUUUAAGUUGGCUUGAAUCAUGUACUUAAUGAGUAAUAUAUGAUGUAUAAGUUGCCUCAUGUUUUGGAAUGGUUAUAUGGUUGCUCAAGUAGU
This 17118-nucleotide long non-coding RNA is filed under the name Gossypium barbadense (sea-island cotton). RNAcentral describes it as "long non-coding RNA (GBAR_LNC007854)". Lineage: Eukaryota; Viridiplantae; Streptophyta; Magnoliopsida; Malvales; Malvaceae. The record is from RNAcentral.